Molecule: long non-coding RNA, 438 nt
Filed under: Lupinus angustifolius (narrow-leaved blue lupine)
Lineage: Eukaryota; Viridiplantae; Streptophyta; Magnoliopsida; Fabales; Fabaceae
Description: long non-coding RNA (LANG_LNC000335)
Source: RNAcentral
UUUCCUCUCAACUUCUCUUUCUCCCCCCUAAUAUUCCGCCGACGCAUUUCCGGCAAACUUCUCCCCCUUUCUUUCUGUGACACUUAAGAAUUGGCACAUGCAGCCAAAGUGGGAUAUCGAGAACUGAUACUGGUAGUCAGUAUUGUGGGAAGAGAAUUGGCACGAGUAGCCAUAUUAUGGGUAAUUUCCAUAUUUUGGAUGUCGUUCCUAGCUUUUGUAGUGUUAAACUUUUUCUUGACAAUGCCUACACGGUUUAUCGUCGAGAUCUGUAAUUUGGGCUUUUAGCCCCUUUUAUUCAUCGGAAAAAAUGAGAUCAAAACAACUAUAAUGUAUGAAAUUUUUUUGUGAUACUUCAUAGCUAAGUUCAAAUACUGAUUGUUGGAAAGCCAAUGUUUUCAUAUGUUGGUGUGAAUGUUAGUGCAAAAUAAAUGUUCGAAG